Molecule: long non-coding RNA, 1977 nt
Filed under: Nicotiana tabacum (common tobacco)
Lineage: Eukaryota; Viridiplantae; Streptophyta; Magnoliopsida; Solanales; Solanaceae
Description: long non-coding RNA (NTAB_LNC014027)
Source: RNAcentral
UAGCCUCUCAGUUAUAAAUGUGGCGCGCAACACACCCAUAAGUGAGACUCUAUUAAGCACGGCUUUGUAGACUCCCUAACACGAACUGCUCUGAUACCACUUUGUCACUCAUUCAUUCCUUUUUAUAACUAUCAUGGGCUAGCAUGGCCACAACUCGUUAUGUAAAAUUUGUAAGUGGAAAAUGUUAUAUCAAUGAACCAUUGUUCAUAAAACAUGAAUACAUAUGGGUUGUCAUGAAUACAUAUGGGUUGUCAAGGCCUCUAACAUACUAUACAUAGUAAACCAGUGUCUACAAAGCUAAGAUUAUUUGACACCAAAUGGGAUAGGGUACCGGCCUACCCAUAAGUCUGUAGCAAAACUUUGACACGUUGACUCUUAGAUUCCACUGCACUCCGAAUGAGGUGGAGUCUUACCGAUCCUUCAUUGAAUGCCAAUCUCGUCAACUAUGAGGGCUCGUCAAACUAUUAUCUAUACCUGGAGGCAUGAGUGCAGCGUCCCAAAUAAAAGGAUGUCAGUACAAAUAAUGUACCGAGUAUGUAAGGCAUGUAAAUAAGUAUAUAAAGAAGAUGGAAGGAACAUGGAGUAAAAAAUUCAGCCUGUAAGUCUAGAUAGUUCUGUAAAUUGUGAAAUAAUUAUAGUGUCAUGCAUAUACGUAUGAAUGUCAUGUCGUGCAUAGGUGCAUGUUUCAUAACAUCAUCAGGCCUCUGAGGCAUCCCAUCAGAUCAUCUCGGCCACUGUGGGCAAAGUCAUCAAUGUAUACCAGCUGAUCAGGUGGUGGUGCAUAUAUAACGUCGUACUCUUCCCCCCCCCCCCACACACACAUAUGUAUUUAACGUCGUCUAUGUCAUAUUUCAGCCGCUAGGACAACAUCAUUAUCGUAUACCAGCUGAUCAGGUUGUGGUGCGUAUAUAACGCCGUAACUUUUUCUCAUAUCUCAUAUACAUAUAUAAACAUAUAUAUACGUGUAUAUAACGCCGUCUGAGUCAUGGGUAAAUAUGCAUGUAUAAAUGCAUGAAAUGCAUAUUAAAUAUGUUAAUAAAAUUUCUCGGUACGUCAUAAGACCAUUAUGCCUCUGGUUAAUAUCAUCAGAUAAUAUGACACAUAUAUGAACUUUGACAAAAUUACGCACACAACUUGCGAUUAACAUAACAAAAAGGAGAUGAUACUGAAGGAAGAUGCUUCUGAAAUAAUAUUUUCUCAUUUCUAACUUUUGUAAUCAUAGGAUAAUAUCAAUCGUAGUGGAAACACUUGAUAAAUCUUCAAGUCUACCAGUUACAAUAUGCGCAUAACAGACCAGAAAGAGUACCAACAAGAACUAGUGGAAACCAGUAAAGUCUACACUCUAGAGAAGGAAAGAAUUAGUUUCACAAUGUAACGACAGACAUUUUGUAUAACCUAGUAUCUGUAUAGAAAGCAAUCAUCUUCCUGCAGAUGGCUGCCUACAAUCUAUAGAUUUUUAUAAUCUACUUCUGAGCAUUUCAUACUUGAAAAAUCACACCAAAUAACCCCAUAUCUUAAAAAAAAAAUAAAGAAAGAAAUCAAGUAGACCUUAAUGACAAGUAUUUCGGUGCUAAUCUGUUAAUAAUGGAAGUUGUGCAUUUGCUCGUUUCGUUCGUGUCAUAUAAAUCAUGACAAAAAGAAAGAAGAGAUAACCUUAACAUACCUAAGUCGAUUCUCUUGACAAUUCCUUUAACAAGCUUGAACCAAAAAAACAUUUCACUCCUUAAAUUAAAACUUCAGCUAUUCAACAAAUGCCUUAUUGAUAAAAGAUUUUAUUUCUAAAGUAUAAAUUUUGGUAUUAAAAUCUGAAACAUAGAAAGAAAUGUAAGCCAAACCAAAAGGCAGUAAACAUGUCAACUUGGAAACUGGAAAGAAAUAGCUCUAAAAUAUUUCACUCUCGCUUCACCAUAUAAGAUAAAAGUUGAAAUGGUUCUCUCAGUUGUUCUUAGCAAAGAUAAUCAGAACUUUUUAUGGAAG